RNAcentral lists this ribosomal RNA (404 nucleotides) under uncultured bacterium. RNAcentral describes it as "bacterial SSU rRNA". It matches the Rfam family "Bacterial small subunit ribosomal RNA", at positions 355 to 776 of the family's 1533-position model. The record is from RNAcentral.
UUGGGAAUUUUGGACAAUGGGCGAAAGCCUGAUCCAGCGACGCCGCGUGAAGGAUGAAAUCCCUCGGGAUGUAAACUUCUUUUAAUUGGGAAAAUUGUGAUGGUACCAAUUGAAUAAGCAUCGGCUAACUACGUGCCAGCAGCCGCGGUAAUACGUAGGAUGCGAGCGUUAUUCGGAAUUAUUGGGCGUAAAGGGCUUGUAGGCGGUCUGCCGCAUUUCCUAUAAAAUUUCGAGGCUUAACUUCGAAUUUGUAGGAAAGAUGAGUAGACUAGAGAACAGCUGGGGUAAACGGAACUCCCGGUGUAGCAGUGAAAUGCGUUGAUAUCGGGAAGAACACCAAUGGCGAAGGCAGUUUACUAGGCUAUUUCUGACGCUGAGGAGCGAAAGCGUGGGGAGCGAAAAGG